CUCAGUGUUGGGCCAAAGUGGGUAUUCAUUCAAAAAGUCACACAUCGAGUAAUUGGAAGAAAAAAGAAGUAGAAAGUUAUUAUAAACAUGAAGAGUUAUAUUGAGUUUUGUUCACUACAACAACUCUAGCUACAAGAAAAUAUAGAGAUAGCGACACUCAAUAUGAGGCGCUAUCAAGGGAACCGCCACCGCUCUGGUCAAUACCGACGGUUAUUGCGGCAUUCAUUCAACUGCUUAUGCUGGUUGUAAAUUUCGGCGGUUUCGUGUGUAUUGUGGCGGCGGUAUUAGUGUGUACAGCGGCGGCUAAAUUAGNNNNNNNNNNNNNAUCACUCACGUUUCGAUUCACGUUUUCUUCAAGCUUCAGAUUCACGAUUCACAAUUUACCUUCAAUCAAGCUUCAAAAUCCAGGUUCAUUUGGGUCUUUAUUGUUCUUCAAUUAUGUGGAAUUUGAGUGUUUUUGUUUUUGUGUAUUUUGCUUCUGAGAUCAUAAAGUUAAUCUUUUUAUAAUAUGAAUUCAAAUGGGUCUUUAUUGUUCUUCAAUAUGUGGAAAUGGGUUGUUUUUAUUUGUGUUUUUUGCAUCUAAGAUGAUAAAUUUAGUGAUUUUAGUCUCUUUACUUUCAAUUAUGCAGAAAUGAGAUGCUUUAAUUUUGUUUGUUUUACAUCCAAGAUCAUAUAUUUAGUCUUCUUAUUUUCUGAAUUUAAAUGGGUGUUAAUUAGUUUUCCUUCCAAGAAAUGAAACCUUUCUGAGUUAUGCAGAAAAGUUCUUACUUUGUUAUGAUUUUGAUUUUCUGUUCUAAUUGCUUGUGGUGUUGCUGAAUCAGGGUUGUGAUGCUUCACUGCUGUUGGAGGAUCGAAACAGAUUCUAAACCUAUAAGAAUAGAUCUAUUCUUAUAGGUUUAGG
RNAcentral lists this long non-coding RNA (901 nucleotides) under Trifolium pratense (red clover). Its description in RNAcentral is "long non-coding RNA (TPRA_LNC011587)". Lineage: Eukaryota; Viridiplantae; Streptophyta; Magnoliopsida; Fabales; Fabaceae. The record is from RNAcentral.